AAAAACUGCAGAUGGAUAGCGGAUUAACACUGGAAAAGGCAGUGCUACAGAUAAGACAGCAUGAAGAGAUAAAGAAACAGCAGCCAGUUGUGAGAGAGACAAACGUGAAGGACAGGAAAGAGGCAAACGUGGAUUUGUUAAAGUUUAAGAAAAAGACUUUCAAAGACAACCAAGCACGAAAAUCGUUUGAAACAAAGAGUCACAGUGAAAAUCAAAAUGGACAAAAGUACUGUGGGCGCUGUGGCAAGUCACCUGCACACUCCAAAAACAACUGUGUUGCACGAGACGCAGAGUGCAGAAAAUGUCGAAAAAAGGGACAUUUUGCAGCGGUGUGCAGAUCAGGCAGAGUUGGAGCAGUCCUGGAGGAUGGGGACAAUACACUGUUUUUAGGAACAGUGUCAGCAGGAGCACGGCCCAACAACUGGAAAAAGACACUGGAGGUAAAUGGCAAAAAUGUGACAUUCAAACUGGAUACAGGAGCUGAUGUAACUGUAAUACCAGCUGCCAUCUACUCAAAAGACCUGCAUGGACCACUCACCAGAGCGGAGAAGCCCCUGUGUGGUCCCAGUGGAGAAGCCCUGAAAGUGAAAGGUCAGUUCAAUGCUGUCAUGAAAUACAAAGACAAAAUGACAACACAGCCAGUGUACAUCAUACAGAGACUAUCCAUCCCUCUGCUAGGCUUUCCAGCUAUCACAGCAUUAGGCCUGCUUCACCCUGUAGACAGUGUUAAGGAACUGGAGGCUGACAUGAAAAAACUGUACCCCAAAGUCUUUACAGGGCUGGGCCUCCUUAAAGGGGAGUACAAAAUAAAACUGAAGGAUGAUGCCAAGCCUUAUGCAUUGUCACUGCCACGACGAGUCCCACUGCCAUUAUAUGACAAGGUGAAGACAGAGCUGGAGAGAAUGGAGAAGAUGGGGGUAAUUGAGGCUAUUGAGGAACCAACAGAGUGGUGCGCUGGAAUGGUGGUGGCCCCCAAGCCCAAUGAAAAGGUCAGAAUCUGCUCAGACAUGACUCACCUAAACGAGUAUGUUUGUAGAGAACGCCACAUACUGCCAGCUGUAGAUGAAACUUUGGCCAAAUUCGCAGGUGCAACGGUCUUCACUAAAUUGGAUGCUACAGCGGGAUUUUGGCAGGUGCCUCUCCACCCAGAGUCAGUCCCAUUGACCACAUUCAUCACCCCGUUUGGAAGAUACUGCUACAAAAGGUUGCCAUUCGGAAUCUCGUCAGCACCUGAACAUUUUCAAAAGAGACUGUCCCAAAUGCUGACAGGACUGGAGGGAACUGUGUGUCAUGCAGAUGACAUACUUGUUUUCGGUUCCACUCGAGAACAGCAUGACCAAAGACUGCACCGAGUGUUAGAGCGGCUUCAGGAGGAGGGGCUGACCCUCAACAAUGACAAGUGCCAGUUUGCAGUAGAAAAGGUUAUGUUUCUGGGUCACAUUGUCACAGCACAGGGCAUUGAAGCAGACCCUGGCAAAAUCAAGGCAAUCAAGGAGAUGCCUACACCCAAAGAUGCUGCUGAUGUGAAAAGGUUUGUGGGCAUGGUGAACUACGUCGGAAAGUUUUCCCCACGUGUAGCUGAACUCACACAGCCAC
Molecule: long non-coding RNA, 1596 nt
Organism: Amphiprion ocellaris (clown anemonefish)
Lineage: Eukaryota; Metazoa; Chordata; Actinopteri; Pomacentridae
Source: Ensembl